Long non-coding RNA from Talpa occidentalis (Iberian mole), 2075 nucleotides. RefSeq lists it as uncharacterized. The transcript is spliced from 4 exons. NCBI's taxonomy places the organism in Eukaryota, Metazoa, Chordata, Mammalia, Eulipotyphla, Talpidae. The record is from RefSeq and is a predicted model, not a curated record.
GCAUUCCAGGUAAAUGAAAGGCAGUUAACAGACAGCUCAGCCAGGAUCAGUGGGCAGUCCCAACUUUAUAACAACUAGAACUGGCUGCCUUUGACUUAAUGAAGUUCCCAGAGUGGACAGAGAUUCUUUAAAAAAUAGUUGGCCUAAAUGACUUCUAGGGUCAUCCAAACUUUGCCAGGUUACUAUGAUGGAGAAUGGUUGAUAAACAAGCAAAGACGAGAGAAUCCCACUAAAAGGUGAAAUAGGAAUAGAGGGUGCAAAUCAAUUUCACAUUGACACUUCCUCCCAUCUGUUCGAUUCAUCUGUUGGACGGUCACUCGCUGCCACUUCAGAGCCACAGGGAGUUCACUCUUCCUUUCAUACCCCUCUGGGAAGCCCAUGGAAAUUAUCUCUGAUUGAUGUGAUUCCUUCUUUUGGUCCUAAUGACAAAAUUACAGCAAAAUCCAGUCCUACUCUGCACCACACUUGGAAGAAAUCUGCUCAGCGUUUGUCUGCCAACCACAACAAAAACUUGAUUAGCUGGGACUCGGCACACAUUGUGGGUAUUCAAAAUCUCCUGAGCACCUUGGAUCCUCUUCCCUGAAGAUACAUGAGACUCUCUCCAGAACCUUCCCAUGGUGUGUGGCAUUGUGAGAAAUGAAACCAUCCUUUGGACCAAUCUAACAGAUCAUUUUACAUCUAGGAAAUAAAGAAGAAGCCAGAAUGAUAAUUUGAUACCUUGAACAAAAAUCAACCGCAUAUUAAGGGAGAAGAAUUAUAAAGAAAGGAAAGAGGUUGGUGACUAUUAACUCGGGAUUGAGAACACAUUCUUCACUCCUGAUCACAGUUUACAAGGCCCUGCAUGACCCAGUCCCUGCCUACUUUUUUUGACUACAUCCAUGCCCAUACCCCCAAACUCUCUGAAUCAAUAUGACAAAGAAAGAAAAAGUCUUGUAUCGGCCCACGAUGAUAAGGAAGUAGCGGUACUGAGCAGAGGCGGAGACUCUGCAGGACUACAUAGCUGGCAGGGACGAGCGGGCUGGACCAUAGCACCAUCUAACUCCACAGCCUGCGUUCUCCAUCAGUACUGGAGACUGUGUGGGAAGACAGGAAAGUGUGUUUUCAUCAAUUGUUUUCCAACUUCUAUUAAUGAAAUAUGUCUGAGCAGCUGUGACAAGAAGAAAGUCUUUUAUCAGCCCAAAAUCUUGAGUCUGUCGUAGCACGUUGUGUCUUUCAAAUCAGAUGCUGCUGUUUUGUCAAAUAUCAAGAAACUACCACAUCUGUCUCUCUCUCAUGUACCCCUUUCUCUAGGACCCUCUCACUAGGCAGCUAAGAUCCAAGCAGUAGAUGAAAGUCAUGUCUGUCUAGGAUGGUUAGUGAAUGGAUUUGACAAGCUCUGUAUUUGAGGAAAGCCAUCUGCCCUUCGCCCAAAUUUUCUCACCAAAGUCACCACCCACCAGCAUGAAAGUCAAUGGUGCAAAAUUGUGGGAAUUGGGUCCUGCCACUCUACUGGUAGCCAUUUUCUGGGAAGCAAAUCCUUUUAUUCACCCCACUACCUAUACUCCCAUCUUCAGUUUCAUUAACAUUGCCCCCCACGUACGCCACUCUGCUUUGCUUCUUGUCUCCAGCUUAAAGUUCGAAAGCCUCACAAGAUAGGUAGGUGUUUUAUGUUCUGGGUGUUGAAACAUGGGGCCUCCUAAGGAAGUGGCCUGCAUACUGCACCCCCCCCAUGUAGCAGUCAUUCCUGAGCAUGACUCAUUUGGGGAAUGCUUUGACCCAGCAUCAGAGCCGCAGACAACAAGUCCCCAAUUUUCCUACCCAAGUUCCACUUACAAGAAAACCAUCAGUGACCUCACCACACUCAAUGGACUGAAAAUCUCUGGCAAGAAAGAAUUUUAGAGGUGACCUGACAGUAUAGUCCCACCACCAGUUACAGAAUCAAAGAGAACAAUUAUAGUUCAAAGGCAAAAUGUGUGCUAUCUUCUCAUUAUUUUUUCUGAUAUUAAGUCUUUUUUAUUAAGAGAAUCAUAAUGCUCGUUCUCUCUACAUGACACUUUCCAUCUUUAAACAUUAACUAAUUAAUUGACUGAAAUGGU